This 323-nucleotide ribosomal RNA is filed under the name Kraken sp. RNAcentral's name for it is "SSU rRNA". The stretch from base 66 to 323 matches the Rfam family "Eukaryotic small subunit ribosomal RNA", at positions 696 to 955 of the family's 1831-position model. The record is from RNAcentral. Lineage: Eukaryota; Cercozoa.
GAUUUCUGGUUUGAUGUGCCUGUCCCGCCACGGUAACGUGUGUGAGUGACGGUGUACGUCUGCCAUCCUUCUAGAUUCGGCAGGUUACUCUUAACUGAGUGGUCUGUCUGUUCUAGAUCUUUUACUUUGAAAAAAUUAGAGUGUUUCAAGCAGGCUUUUGCUAUGAAUACAUUAGCAUGGAAUAAUAAUUUAGGACUUUGGCCCUAUUUUGUUGGUUUCUAGGACUGAAGUAAUGAUUGAUAGGGAUAGUUGGGGGUGCUCGAAUUCAGCGGCCAGAGGUGAAAUUCUUGGAUUCGCUGAAGACGAACUCAUGCGAAAGCAUU